AAAUGAUUGUUUUCUUAUUCUGAUUUUUUUUCUAGCUGUAAUAGCAUAGUUAUGAUACCACAAGUUUUUUUUUAAUAUUUAUGAUUUGAUAUAUUCAAAUGAAUACUAAAUAUUAACAUUUGUUUUGAUUAGAAUUACAAAUGUUCAAAUUUUUUGGAUCAAUUCAAAUAACAAAAUUAAUUAAUUUUUUUUUGAAAAGAAAACAAAAUAAAUUAAAUUUCGUCUAUGUUUUGUCUAUCCUUACUUAAUAAUUAAUAAGUACCAAACACGUAGUAAACUCAAAACGAAAAUUUGGGGGGUUAUUAGAGAAGAGAAGUUCCAUGAAGUAAAAGGAAAGAGAAGCGUGUUGUUGUGUUGGUCGAAGAAGAUUGAUAGUUAAAAAAAGGUGGAAUAUCUGUGAGUGAUUGAGAAGAGACACGUGAUUUAGUGACAUCAUUUAACGUUAGCUGUCUCAUUAAGGACAUACGUGUGCACAUCAACUUCCACCUCCAUAUCCACCUGCACCUGACCAGCUGCACUUCUUUUCCCGUUUCCUCUUCACUUCUCCCAUGUGCUCCCCUUUCCCCUCUUCUUCUUCUCUCUAUAUAUCAUUUUAAAAAUAAAUAACAAUGGGCCUUAGAGAGACAUGAUGAGCCGUAUAACCAAUAGUAGAUCUGGGGGUUCAUCUGUGGGAUUCAAAUUGGAUAUUUCAAAUUUUGGUCUAAUUCGUAACCCAUCCUAAAUAUAGUAAAUUAAUAAAUAUUGAUCGGGUUUAAAUAUAACAUACGGUUUCAGUCUAAUUUAUAUAACAUCCUAGAAUUCAUAAAGUAAUUAUAUAUUGUUCAGAUUCAGAUUAUAUCGAAUCGGUUUGGAUAAUCCGAAAUAAAAUUUAAAAGCAAAAAAAAAAUAUUUAUUUACAUAAAAUUAGGUAUUUAAGGUAUUUAUUUAAAUUUUAAAUAUUUCUUUGGAUAUCGUAUCAAAAUAAAUAUGAAAUUGAAUAUUUGAAAUACAUAUUUAUGUUUCAAAUAAUAUUUCUAUAGCAUACUAAUUUAGACAUUCGGAUCUAGUUUUUGGUUUUUUAUUUCGAAUUUUUUUUUUCAAGCUACUCAUUCGGAUUUGAUUCGGUUAAUAACACUUCGAGUUUGGAUAUAUUUUGUAACACCUUAUAAAAUUCAUUCAUGUGUUUUUUUUUUAAUUUCGAACCGGAUACAGAUCGAGUUUUUUUGUUUGGGUUCGGUUUAGGUUUCAGAUUAAUAUGCCCGGCCUAACCAAUAUGUUUAACUACAAAUCUAUUCAAGUGGAAGGAGUAAGCAAAAAACGAGGGGGAGUGGUCAAGAAGACCAACCCUACUUUAACUCUUUACCAAGACAUAGGGGAGUCACAGAAACUUCACACGUGUAAAUUUGUCACGUUUUCUUUUUAGUGUUUUGUCUGAGAAUAACCAAACUUCGGCUUACUCAUCACUACAAAUUUAACGAAUUAUUGUUUUUCUGUCUUGUGUAUAUACUAUAUAGAGUCACACUAAAAUUCAGACUUCAGAUUAACAAACGAUCAAUUUUAAAUAAGGGACUAGCUGCUCUUUUAAUUUAGAGAGGAAAAAGGGAGAAAAUAUGCAUCAUCAUUCGGAGACGACGACGACAAUAAAUCAACCACUUUGUCCUAAGCCACGUCGUGUGUGUCCUUCUCUUCCUGAUUUUCUCAAGCCUGUCUCAUGUUCACUACACUCUUCGAACUGUCAACAAAGUUCGGAGGGAAGAAGCGGCGUUAUCAACAUAAUCGAUAAGGUUCAGCCGGUAGAAGGUGGAAUAGAGUGGUACGUUGGGUCUCCACCUAAGAGAACCGGGAAUCCUCUUGUCCACGACCUUCAUUUCGUUCACUGCCAUGACCUUCUCCCCAAUUUCCCAAGCACCAAGGCUUGAUCUUCACAUCUUCGUUGACGAUUCAUGCAUACACAACCGUACAAACAAAACAAACAAAGAGAAAAGAAAAGAAAAACUUUCACAUAAAAUGCCAUAUCGAUCGAUCUCGGGGUACAACAUUAACCUCAUCACCUAAACGGGUUUCUUAUACAGAUAUGCACCAACAAGUUUGGAGUUUAUUUUUUGAAGAAUUGUAUUAGAUUUUCUUGAUCACCAAGAGUACACACUGAGGUCAGCACAAUUAAUACUGCUUACUCAAUCAGCACCCACUUCCUGAGUACACACUGAACGCAUAGACUUAAAUAGAACGGUUAAAUACAUAUAUGUAUUAGAGCUUGGAUCUUUUCUCUGUAAUAUGUAAAUUUUCUCUUUUUAGUUUGGAUGACUUGUUUUGUAUCUGCCUUGUGUUUCCUUAAUUUCUAAACUUCUUGUGAUUAUCUUUAGUUUGUUAUGCCUUGUAUGGUGAUCUUAUUGGAGCGAAUGUUUGAGACAUUCCAAUACUUAAAUAGAGCUUCGUUUCUCAAAAGACAAACAAGUGACCAUGGUUGUGUUUAUGGAGAUCAGAGCGAGUACUCUUAUAUUAUCUCCCCUGUUACAAGAAUGUAUAUUUUUAUUUUUUUAAUGUCUCGGACAUGUCAAAUGCCUGCGGCAAAUGCAGCAAGAGAUGCAUUGCCACAAACAUGAUUUAGAGAGAUACUGGAUCCAGUAAGUAGCUAAUGAGAUUGAUACCAAAAGGGUAUACUGUGAUGAGCCGGAUGGCUGCGUGUGGGACCUAAAGUGUAUUAGGGAUAAAUGUCCCACAUCGGAUAUUGGAAGGGAUCCUAAGCAAUAUAUAAGAUAGAUGGGUCACUCCACUUAAUACCAAUUGGUUUUAGGUUGGAAGUCCAUCUAGCUUAACAUGGUAUCAGAGCCCGAUCCACGCAGUCCAAUCCGAUCCUCAGUCUCGCCGUCAUGAACAACUGGCCGUUGCGUCAACUUGACUUCAACAACGCCUUCUUACAAGGCAAUCUCAAUGAGGAUGUUUAUAUGGAGCAGCCACAAGGCUUUGUCGACAAAGAUAAACCAGAUUACGUAUGCAAACUGAACAAAGCCAUCUACGGUCUUAAACAAGCACCGCGUGUAUGGUACUUAGAGCUCCGUCAGUUCCUUCUCCAGUCUGGCUUCAAGAACUCAGUCGCAGAUGCUUCUCUCUUCAUUCUUAUUGUCGGUAAAAUAACUCUCUAUGUCCUCAUUUAUGUUGAUGAUAUC
Long non-coding RNA from Brassica napus (rape), 3146 nucleotides. RefSeq lists it as uncharacterized. NCBI's taxonomy places the organism in Eukaryota, Viridiplantae, Streptophyta, Magnoliopsida, Brassicales, Brassicaceae. The transcript is spliced from 3 exons. The record is from RefSeq and is a predicted model, not a curated record.